UCCGCUUCUCUUCCGGUUUCCUCGGCCGCCGCAGCCAUGAGCAGCAAAGUCUCACGCGACACCCUGUACGAGGUGGUGCGGGAAGUCCUGCACAGGAACCAGCGCAAGCGCCGCAAGUUCCUGGAGACGGUGGAGCUGCAGAUCAGCCUGAAGAACUACGACCCUCAGAAGGACAAACGUUUCUCGGGCACCGUCAGGCUUAAGUCCACCCCUCGCCCCAAGUUCUCGGUGUGCGUCCUGGGGGACCAGCAGCACUGUGACGAGGCCAAGGCCGUGGAUAUCCUGCACAUUGGACAUCGAGGCCCUGAAGAAGCUUAAUAAGAACAAGAAGUUGGUGAAAAAGCUGGCCAAGAAGUACGACGCGUUCUUGGCCUCUGAGUCUCUAAUCAAGCAGAUCCCGAGGAUCCUGGGCCCAGGCCUCAACAAGGCGGGCAAGUUCCCCUCCCUGCUGACACACAAUGAAAACAUGGUGGCCAAAGUGGACGAGGUCAAAUCUACAAUCAAGUUCCAGAUGAAGAAGGUGCUGUGCCUGGCUGUUGCUGUUGGCCAUGUGAAGAUGACCGAUGAUGAGCUGGUCUACAACAUCCAUCUGGAUGUCAAUUUCUUGGUGUCCUUGCUCAAGAAAAACUGGCAAAAUGUCCGGGCUUUGUACAUCAAGAGCACCAUGGGCAAGCCCCAGCGUCUGUAUUAGGAUGCUGCUCCAAUAAACCUGUGCUACCACCCAAAAAAAAAA
Molecule: RNA transcript, 733 nt
Organism: Mastomys coucha (southern multimammate mouse)
Lineage: Eukaryota; Metazoa; Chordata; Mammalia; Rodentia; Muridae
Gene name: 60S ribosomal protein L10a pseudogene
Exons: 1
Source: RefSeq, a predicted model, not a curated record